AUUCUCAAAUGGCAGAGAAUCAGAACUUUGUGAGGAAGGUGAAGAGGGUUCGAAUCCCUCUCUGUCCGCCA
RNAcentral lists this transfer RNA (71 nucleotides) under Verrucomicrobiota bacterium JB023. RNAcentral's name for it is "tRNA-Thr". The record is from RNAcentral. Lineage: Bacteria; Pseudomonadati; Verrucomicrobiota.